GCCAGGUGUAGUGGCUCACACCUGUAAUCCCAGUGACUUGGGAGGCUGAGGCAAGAGAAUCAUAGGUUCAAAACCAGCCUGGGUCUUGAACCUAUGUCUUAGCAAGAC
RNAcentral lists this small RNA (108 nucleotides) under Marmota monax (woodchuck). The record is from RNAcentral. Lineage: Eukaryota; Metazoa; Chordata; Mammalia; Rodentia; Sciuridae.